CAUAAUACUGAGAUCAUUCUUUCAUUCAAUCACUUACUAUGCUUACUUAAAAAAAUGGUUGCAUAAUAUCUAAGAAAUGACAGAGUAAUCAGGAAAGAAUUGUGGUGACAGAAUCAAGAGAGGGAGUUUCUAGGCUCAAGACUCCGGAAAAGCCACCCCUGGUAUCAAGAGAUUUAUGUUAAGAUUCCCAGCUGAGACAGGCAGAGGUCAAGAUACAUUUCUGAGACUGGGAAGUAAACAUUCUUGGCCAAAUUUUUAUGUUUGUUGCUAGGUGACCAAAGUCCUCUUGUGAUGCCAUUGCUACUCAGGUUGGAAACCACUGUGGUGAUCUAGAUUACCUUACCUGAGUAGACUACUGAAGCAGCAUUUGAAGCUGCAGUCUUGAAACAUACGCAGGCUGAAAAAGUAGCUAAAGAAUUACUUAUUUGAGAUGGCACAUGUUUCUGCAGAAACUCAAGAUGUUUCUCCUAAAGAUGAAUCAAAUGGCUUGGAAGCCUCCACUUGGUCUCCAUUGUGUGAACACAUAAUGCCUGGGGAUUCAGAAUUAAAGUAAAUGACUGAAUAAAUGAUUUUCAGGUCUUGCCACAAGGAUCCUUGAUAAAAAGGCCACAUUACACAUUGUGUCUCUGAACUAGAUACAGAUAAUGAUUUUCCUUCUCUGACCUUUCCCUGUAAACUUUGGAAAAUAGUUGAAAGUGCCAAAUUCAAGUCUAAAUCAUGGGAUAAGAAUGAAACUUGCAUAGUGAUUAAUGAAGAACUCUUCAAUAAAGAAAAUUUGGAAAUAAAGGCUCCUUACAGAAUAUUUGAAACUGACAGUAUGAAAAGCUUAACUCGACAGCUCAACCUUUAUGGAUUUAGUAAAAUUCAACAGAAUUUUCACAGAUCUGCCUUUCUAGCCAAAUUUCUGGCAGAAGAAAAAUUUCUGUUUUAAGCAAGGUAUUCAAAAUAUUUCAGUUACCACUUUGAGUAUAUAUGUAAUUUCAUUUUGUACAUCAGUAACUAUGUUAAUACAUGCAGUAAGAUCAGAUUUUUAAAAUUAUAUCAAAUAUUGAGGUAAAAAUUACUUAAUUUUUUUGAAAUUAUUGAGUGCAGGUUGAGCAUUAAACUUUCAGGUUUUAGGAAAUAUUGCUAGCAACUUUGAGUAUCACCAGUGAACUCCAAGUAAAGAUACCAAAGCCACUUAGUGAAAUGUUACUAUUAAAUGUAUAACAUGUUUUCACUUGAGGACUUCAAAACUUGAGUGUUUUUUUUUUCUCAACAAGCAUGUUCUUAAAAAUAGUAAACAAUGUUCAUUCAUUAUUUGAUGAUAUUAACUUUGUGUUGAUAAAACAGAAAUCUGAGAUUGUAUGUGUUAUGUUUGUUAUUGUUACUUGUCUCUUGGUUUAAAAUGGCACUGAAUUACCUUCUCCUUGGUUUUAGUUAAAGUUGUAUUAUCAUCCAAAAUUCAAGCAUGGCUGUCCCCAACUUUUAAUAAGAACAAAAAGAAGAAUUAGGAUUAAAAACACUUCUCUUGUAUCUACUUCACUGAAUAUUUCAAGAAGCACUUUAGAGCAGAGGCUAACACAGAUAAACAUAAUUCUGUCUUAGCUGCUGAAACUAGUGAAGAAAGUUCAUUUUCCAUAUCUACAAAUUCAAAUAUGACUCUAACAAGGAAAUCUUCUGUCAGCCAGGGAAUUGAUGGUUCACCUGACCCAUUUAGAAGUGGUUUCCCUCCUCUUCCAUUUCAACCUCAGUUGGACAAUCAGAACAAAUUACAACAAAUCAACAUGCUAUUUUAAAUCAAUUGACGAAUAUUCAUAUGCACUCUCAUAGCACCGACAUGUAAGCAAAUGGCCACAUUGUGAAUUUUGUUAAAACCACAGCUUCUCAAUAAUACAUCAUGUCUCCCUUCUUUGGGGCUGAUAGUGAAACCUUCAACUUUUUCCAACCAGAUCUCCUGAAGUAUUAGCCAAUGAGGCUCCUCGUUAUAACCUGCUACCAGCAGGCAAUCUGUGGUUGUGAAUGAGUGCGAUAGCUGAUACAUCAGUUGCCUUUCGUUACAGGCCAGCUCUUCAACCAUCUUUACUGGAAAAAUAUCACCCUAGUUACAACUGAUCUUCCACCAAAAGAGUACCAGAUUAUGCACGACAACAGAGACUGAAAUUUAUGUUGACAAGAACAUUAAAAAUUCCUGCAAUUCUCUUACUGAACAAUAAAAUUACAUGUUGACUUUUA
Molecule: RNA transcript, 2214 nt
Organism: Pan troglodytes (chimpanzee)
Lineage: Eukaryota; Metazoa; Chordata; Mammalia; Primates; Hominidae
Gene name: heat shock transcription factor, Y-linked-like
Exons: 3
Source: RefSeq, marked validated